This 252-nucleotide ribosomal RNA is filed under the name uncultured bacterium. Its description in RNAcentral is "partial 16S ribosomal RNA". It matches the Rfam family "Bacterial small subunit ribosomal RNA", at positions 524 to 776 of the family's 1533-position model. The record is from RNAcentral.
UACGGAGGAUGCAAGCGUUAUCCGGAAUGAUUGGGCGUAAAGCGUCCGCAGGUGGCUGUGUAAGUCUGCUGUUAAGAGUGAGGCUCAACCUCAUAAAGGCAGUGGAAACUACAUGGCUAGAGUGCGUUCGGGGCAGAGGGAAUUCCUGGUGUAGCGGUGAAAUGCGUAGAGAUCAGGAAGAACACCGGUGGCGAAAGCGCUCUGCUAGGCCGCAACUGACACUGAGGGACGAAAGCUAGGGGAGCGAAUGGG